CCUACGGGGGGCAGCAGUGAGGAAUAUUGGUCAAUGGCCGCGAGGCUGAACCAGCCAAGUCGCGUGAGGGAAGAAUGUCCUAUGGAUUGUAAACCUCUUUUGUCAGGGAGCAAAGUCACCCACGUGUGGGUGUUGGAGAGUACCUGACGAAAAAGCAUCGGCUAACUCCGUGCCAGCAGCCGCGGUAAUACGGAGGAUGCAAGCGUUAUCCGGAUUUAUUGGGUUUAAAGGGUGCGUAGGCGGGGUAUAAAGUCAGAGGUAAAAUCGUGGAGCUCAACUCCGUACUGCCGUUGAACCUGAUGAGCUUGAGUGGACGAGAAGUAUGCGGAAUGCGUGGUGUAGCGGUGAAAUGCAUAGAGAUCACACAGAACACCGAUUGCGAAGGCAGCAUACC
This 394-nucleotide ribosomal RNA is filed under the name uncultured bacterium. Its description in RNAcentral is "partial 16S ribosomal RNA". It matches the Rfam family "Bacterial small subunit ribosomal RNA", at positions 338 to 730 of the family's 1533-position model. The record is from RNAcentral.